GUGUCAGCAGCCGCGGUAAUACAGAGGGUGCGAGCGUUGUUCGGAAUUACUGGGCGUAAAGCGCGCGCAGGCGGCUCUUUAAGUCCGUCGGUGAAAGACCGGGGCUCAACCCCGCGUCAGCCAUGGAUACUGGAGGGCUGGAGACAGGUAGAGGCAAGCGGAAUUCCGGGUGUAGCGGUGGAAUGCGUAGAGAUCCGGAAGAACACCGGAGGCGAAGGCGGCUUGCUGGACCUGGUCUGACGCUGAGGCGCGAAAGCGUGGGGAGCGAACAGGAUUAGAUACCCUCGUAGUCC
RNAcentral lists this ribosomal RNA (293 nucleotides) under uncultured bacterium. RNAcentral describes it as "partial 16S ribosomal RNA". It matches the Rfam family "Bacterial small subunit ribosomal RNA", at positions 505 to 796 of the family's 1533-position model. The record is from RNAcentral.